This 924-nucleotide ribosomal RNA is filed under the name Sauertylenchus maximus. RNAcentral's name for it is "SSU rRNA". It matches the Rfam family "Eukaryotic small subunit ribosomal RNA", at positions 88 to 1020 of the family's 1831-position model. Lineage: Eukaryota; Metazoa; Nematoda; Chromadorea; Rhabditida; Telotylenchidae. The record is from RNAcentral.
CGCGAAUAGCUCAUUACAACAGCUAUAAUUUACUUGAUCUUGACAACCUACUUGGAUAACUGUGGUAAUUCUAGAGCUAAUACAUGCACCAAAGCUCCGACCGUAAGGGAAGAGCGCAUUUAUUAGAACAAAACCAAGCGGCUUCGGCCGUCCAAUGUUGACUCAGAAUAACUAAGCUGAUCGCAUGGUCUUGUACCGGCGACGUGUCUUUCAAGUAUCUGCCUUAUCAACUUUCGAUGGUAGUGUAUCUGACUACCAUGGUGAUGACGGGUAACGGAGGAUAAGGGUUCGACUCCGGAGAAGGGGCCUGAGAAAUGGCCACUACGUCUAAGGAUGGCAGCAGGCGCGCAAAUUACCCACUCUCAGAACGAGGAGGUAGUGACGAGAAAUAACGAGACCGUUCUCUUAAGAGGCCGGUCAUCGGAAUGGGUACAAUUUAAACCCUUUAACGAGUAUCUAUGAGAGGGCAAGUCUGGUGCCAGCAGCCGCGGUAAUUCCAGCUCUCAAAAUGCAUAGAAUUAUUGCUGCGGUUAAAGAGCUCGUAGUUGGAUCUGUGCUGGCCUCCCGGUCCACCUUCGGGUGUGCACUGGUGAGGUUGGCUUUCCUGCCCAUUUUUCGGUCAGUGCCUUUAACCGGGUGCUGGUCGUAGUGGGCAAGUUUACUUUGAACAAAUCAGAGUGCUCAAAACAGGCGUUUCGCUUGAAUGUUCGUGCAUGGAAUAAUAUAUGAGGAUUUCGGUUCUAUUUUAUUGGUUUUAUAGACUGAGAUAAUGGUUAACAGAGACAAACGGGGGCAUUCGUAUUGCUACGUGAGAGGUGAAAUUCUUGGACCGUAGCAAGACGAACUACAGCGAAAGCAUUUGCCAAGAAUGUCUUCAUUAAUCAAGAACGAAAGUCAGAGGUUCGAAGGCGAUCAGAUACGCCC